This 233-nucleotide ribosomal RNA is filed under the name uncultured bacterium. RNAcentral describes it as "partial 16S ribosomal RNA". It matches the Rfam family "Bacterial small subunit ribosomal RNA", at positions 118 to 350 of the family's 1533-position model. The record is from RNAcentral.
UGAGUAACCUGCCCUUCACUCUGGGAUAACUCCGGGAAACCGGGGCUAAUACUGGAUAUGACUCGAACAGGCAUCUGUUUCGGGUGGAAAGAUUUAUUGGUGGAGGAUGGACUCGCGGCCUAUCAGCUAGUUGGUGUGGGUAACGGCCCACCAAGGCGACGACGGGUAGCCGGCCUGAGAGGGUGACCGGCCACACUGGGACUGAGACACGGCCCAGACUCCUACGGGAGGCA